RNAcentral lists this ribosomal RNA (253 nucleotides) under uncultured bacterium. RNAcentral's name for it is "partial 16S ribosomal RNA". It matches the Rfam family "Bacterial small subunit ribosomal RNA", at positions 524 to 776 of the family's 1533-position model. The record is from RNAcentral.
UACGUAGGUCCCAAGCGUUGUUCGGAUUCACUGGGCGUAAAGGGUGCGUAGGCGGUCGGGUAAGUCUGAUGUGAAAUCUCACAGCUUAACUGUGAAACUGCAUUGGAUACUAUCCGGCUAGAGGAAUGGAGGGGAGACUGGAAUACUUGGUGUAGCAGUGAAAUGCGUAGAUAUCAAGUGGAACACCAGUGGCGAAGGCGAGUCUCUGGACAUUACCUGACGCUGAGGCACGAAAGCCAGGGGAGCAAACGGG